ACCUUCCUUUGGGCACAAAUGAAGACCCCUGGGAAGCUUUCCAUUAGUGUUUCGGCGAGCGGUAAACCUCAGAAAAAUGAGUUUGGUAGCUUCUUCUGCCAUGCUCUUUUCCAUGCUAGGGAGACUUUCGACCAAAGUUUCUCUCAGCAUCUCCCUCAAUCCUUCAUUCAUAAUGCAUUUCGAUUGGUAUAGCAUUAUACUUUCUAGGGUCUUUAUGGCCUCAUUGUUCCUCCCGUUUGUUACAAUCUUAAACACAUCAUCAAAGAAGUCACUUAGAAGAUCUUUCAGAUUGAAGCUUCCUUCAACCAAGCACUUAUGAACUUCUCAAUUGUUUUCAUGAUCCCACACAACAAUACCACGUUACCCUUCUGCAAGUUAUUUUGCAAUUGAGUCUCUAAUUCUAUAUCGCAACAAGACCCAAAGUAUACAAAGUAUAAUAGAUCUAUGGAGUAGUAGUGGGAACAACCCCUUACGAUUGAAACUCAAAGUUGUCGUAUUGAGAGUUAAUGAUUUCAUAUGUAAGGAGUCUAACCAAAUUUUGUAUCUUUCGUAUGUAUAUGCAGCAGCCGACAACUGUCAAACCGGCUUCCAACUUCCAAGCCUUUAUUCCUAGAUUACCAGAUUAGAUUGUUACUCCUACAACCAUGAUAAAACCAUUCUCCAAAACAAAACAAAAAAGAAGAUAAAACCAAUAUAAAGUAGCAUGAUAAAAAACUACCGAGCAUACAGAGGUGUUGGAAAAUAUUUCAAUGAAUAAUAUUUUAUUCUAAAAAACAUAUUCCAGUUUGUUUUGCUUUCCCUUCCAAAGGUUCUAUUUUGACCCAAAAAAUACAAAAACAAACGCAUUCUCGCAUUUAGGCACAUUUCUAAAAUAUCUACUUUGAUCCAUGACAUAAACACACUACCGUAUGCAUUUCACUACUCAUAGAGUCAUAGCAGAAAGAUCUUUUACUGACAGGGCAACAAAUUGAUCAAAUUUACUAAGAUUUGACUUUAAGUUACCAAGGAAAACAAAGCUACAUGACAAAACUAACUUCAGCCUGGACAAAAGAUCUAUAGAAAUACUGACUUUGUGAGGUCACAUAUAGCAAUAGAGUUUAAGAACAAAUGAAAGUCUUCAAACAGUUCCAUUGAAUCUGAAAAAUCUUCACAGCUUCACCCAGUCUUGCAAACUCAAGGUUAAAAGUAAUAUUGCAUUGCCUAUUUAUCACAAUCCUCACCGGAAUUUGUCAAAUCAUCCACCACGACCUCACUGGGAGCGUUUGUGGGUUUCUGGUAGGAAAGAAGUGCCAUGACCUUACGACAAGGAGAAUCUGCGGUGGGCACCAAUCGAGCGGCUUCCAACGUUUGUUCCGAAUAGUCGGCGAGUUUUUUGCAUCUGCCUUUGCUAAUCAUAGAGGCCGAGAGGGUGGAAGUGGAAGCUCAAGCUCAAGCUGCUGCGAACAAUUGGCUGAAAAUCUCACCUGGCCAUUUCUGUAAGUAAGCAAAGCACUGGCGGGUGCGCUUAUGUUAAUUCGAUUAAUUAUUGAUUAAGCAGAGCACUGGCUGGUUGUUUGUUUUCUUUUUACUGAAAAAGUUCAAACUUUUUGUUCAUCCCCUCCAUCUCUAUCUCAACUGUUGUGUUAUUUGCCUCUCUACUGAAAAAGGUCAAAUUUUUGUUCAUCACCUUAUCUCUCUCUCUCUCUCUCAACUGUGGUGUUUUAACUGUUAUUUGCUUUUGUUCACUGAAAAAUGAUACUUUUUGUUCACCACCUUCAUCUCUCUCUCCCUCUCUUUUUCCUCAAACAACCUACGUAUCUGAAGUCCCUAACCUAAUUUCUCUCAAUACAUUUAAUUAGAAACCGUUGGAUAUUGUCCCACAUCGGUUAAUUAUCUCCUCCAAAACUAGUAUAUGAGUCUGAACGGCAUCUUCACUCCUUGCCAAUUGGUUUUGAGGUGGAUGCUUUAAUAUGGUAUUAGAGCUAGGUUUCCAGAGGCUUUUUCCUUUUAUUUGUGCCAUAGUUGCACUUUGUUUUGUUGUGAUCUGCGUGUUCCGGAUCUUUUGUUGACCUCUCCAUGUGCGAGUCGGGGGUCACACAUAAAGGGGGAGUGAUGGAUAUUGUCCCACAUUGGUUAAUUAUCUCCUCCAAAACUAGUAUAUGAGCCUGGGUGGCAUCUCCACUCAUUGCCAAUUGCUCGUGCACUAUUACUAAAUCGUCUUUGAAAACCCAUCGUUUCAUCUCUGUUUUACUCUUCCCCCAACUGUUUGGGUGAUGAAAAAAGUGUAGGAAAGAAUGAGAGAACUCUUACCUGGCCUUUUAGCUUCUGGUGUUUAAUUUCGUCAAAACCUCAACCGUAGUCUGCAGAGUUCUGGGAUUGUACCGCUAAGAUUCUGAGAAGUAAUUUUCUUGUUUUAAACUCAAGUUUACUGCUUUCUGCUAUAUGCUAACUGGUUGCUUUUCUGGAGACCAAAUUUGCUAAUUUUGUGAAGGACUAAAUUGUGUGGAUGUGGAUUUAACGUAUUGCUUACUUCUUUGAAUCAUAUGAGUGCUUGUUUCGGCUAUGCAUAUCCUUAUUUUGUGUGGGGAUUUAUAAGGUUUUGAUCUAUAUUGAAUUACUUUUUGUGAAGCUUAUUGUUUAAUGUUAGUGAUGAUGCUGGUAGCUUUUUGUCUCCUGUUAUUUAUGUAUACGGAAUUACUUCGUGAAAAUGUGUUUGUCUGUUUCGGUUGUUCGAACUUUUAGAGAGACAUGAAACUUAUGCACUAAAAUUCAAAACCAAGCAUUGAUUUUGGACAUUACCUUUUUUACUUUCAAUGUUUAUAUACGUAGUGUCAAUAUAUAUGUCACAGUUUAUAAGCGAUACUGUUUGAAGCUGAAUAGUCUAUGUUUUGAAGUUUUAAGAAUGCUUAUAUUUUGGACAGGUGGACUAUUUGUUUGUUGCUCCUUGUGUUCCCUUUUGUCAAUCUCACCCAGCCUCUAUCUCAGUUGAAUAGGUCAAAGAUUGAAAAAGGUGAGUUUUUAUUUGGGAAUUCAUAUUCUGUAAACUUGUAGUUGCAGAAAGCACGUGCUCCUGUUUAGGUCUGCAAACGAGCCAAUCAAGCUGAGCUUUUCAAUGUUCGAGCUUUGUUCAGACAACUUUGCAAUUUGCGUUAGCUUGAGCUCGGCUCGAGCCAAAGGUAUCGGGCUCGAACUCAACUCGGGAAAUGUUUUUCAACCUCAGGAUGGGCUCGAGCAAGCUCUUUAAAAGACUUUUAUUGGCAUGGAAAUAGCAUAGUGAACCAGACAACUAAUGCCUUCCUGGCUAUACAAGAGCUAGUCUAGCCGCUAAACCCAUGCAGGAGCAAUGUUGUACAGUUAAACUGGAAAAACAGUACCUUUGUUAACCUUUGUCUCUGGCCUCUCUUCACCAUUUUAGAAUUUUUGGCUGCACAGUGAGAACAUAAAUUGCUUUGAUGAUUGGUACUACACACUUAUUUCCCUAGUAUUGCCAUGAAAUCUGUACCAAAUGCAUUUAGAUGGACUCAUGAUAUUAUCCACCCAGUCAUGUAUCUCUAGUGUAUUUAUUAUCAAUGUGGACUGAAACGUUUAUCUACCAUUUUCUCUCUUUUGGCAUAUCACGUCCACUCUCAAAGUCCUCAUAUUCUACACCAAUAUUGCAGGUUAGCAUUCUCAAAUAAACAAUUUACCCUACGCUGAUGUGUUGUGCAUCAAACAUAUCUCUGUGAUUGAAUGUAGAUUUUUAAUAAACAGUUCAAUAUUAGGCAACCAUUUAAAAUAUUCUUAACUUCCUAAGAGAUUAAUCUGCAUACGUCGUAAAAAAGAAAAAGGAGAUUCAUUUACAAUUAGAGAUUAGGAAAUGGAUUUAAUAAGGUGAUUGGUUGAUAGAAAAAAUUUAGUGUUCCCGAGGUAUUGUUUAAUCAGGUAGCCUUAUAGGUUUAUAGCCAUCAUUCUAGCCUUCUUGAUUUUCUUAAUUCAAAUUCUAUUGAAAAUUCUAUUUGUAGAAUAACUGUUCACAUACCUUUGCGUUUCUAUUUAGCUGAAGUAAUCUGCAUGUAGUACUCUUAUUGUAGUCCCACUUUGUUAACUAACACUCAAAUUGUCAAUCUAAGCUUGAUAUUAUACUGUGUUAGAUUGAGAACUUGGGAGUGAGAACGGUAGACUCUUUUCCCUUACUAAGUAACAGAUUCGUGGACUGAGGAUUGAGAGCAUGAAAAUGGGGCGGAGGGUUUAUCGAAGGAUUUUGUUACUGAGGUCCCACAUCUGUAGAGUAGAGUAGAGAAGCUUGAGGCAUCUCAGCCUCUAUAAAAGAGUGUGCUCUAGAGUCCUCACACAAUUUGAAGAGAGAGAUGCAAGUCUCAUAAAGUGAUGUGCAUAAUUAUAUACUUGAUACUGUGUUGUUAAUCUGUAACAUAGACAUAAAGUUAAGUUAUUAACUGAGCCAAGCCUGCUUCUACGACUCGGCUUGUUUAGUAAUCGAGUUCCAAUCCUAGGCUCGAGCUCGUUCCUUGUGUAAUUAAACGAGAGCUCUGAGUCGUCUGUGAACGGCUUGGUUGGCUUGCAGACCUACUCCUGUUUUAAGCAUUUUCGGUUCUGAAAGGUCCAGAACACAAUAUUCAAGUUACAUUAAAUCUCUGCCUUUGCUCUAUGGAGAUGUCCCUGUGGAGAUUGCCACCCAUUGUUAGGAUUUACACUGGUAUAUGAAUGACGACUCGUCCAAAGUUAAGGCAAGAUAGGUCAACUUUACUUGAUCGAGCUGAUAUUUUUGUUUUAGGGCUGACGUGUUAUUUCCUGCAGAAACAAGUUGAACAUGUUAGAAUUCUCUUUCUUAUACAAAGCUUUUUUGAAAGACAAUGACAAUUUUGGGUGUGGGAGGUGUUGCUCUUGAAAUGUAAUUUUGCAGUUAUGGUCACGUUCUUAAGUUCAAGAAUUUAGAGCAGGUGGUUGCUACCAUGGGUUUAAAUUGUUUGGGUGGACGCUCAUGGACAAUACUGUUGAGAUAAAUAGUUAUGUCCUAUUCAAUGUGCCUGUUGGGUAGUUUGGUUACUGUCAAAAGUCAACUCUGUUAUAAUUGUCACAAAGGUUAUACCGUUAUGCACCAAUACCCUGUUGUACGCAAUACUUGGUCAACCUUUCUAGUGAUAAGGACAAGGACCUAAAACUCGUUUCAGUUGUACAUAAAAUGUCUCAUGACUGAUUGGUUAAAACGUUUAUACACUCAUGUUGUGUCUGUUUAGGAUAGGUUCAAGUGUUUAAUUUCUGUUGUAUAAUUUGGAGGAAAAUUAACUAACAUAAUUGAAGUAUGCAUUAAGCUUAGGUAGUAUCCUUGUUUUAGUAUUCUAAUUUUUUGUGCGAUGUUUGGUUGAAUCAGCAAUAUUGAACUUUCUAUGUGAAAAGUAAAAGUAUCUUUGCCAAAAAGAUAACUUACGAAAGAAAUCUGUCUGACCAAAUGAAAUCAGCAUUUAUCAAGAUCGAUUCUGCAUAUGGUGAUGGACUUUAUUGCUGCAUACUAAAGAAUACCACUCAUGGGCUAUAAAUUUUUCAACAGUUAUAUUACAAAAUCAAAAUAUUACAAUUAUUAGUUAUUAAAAUAAGAAGGAUCGUAAAUUGCAUUUGGUAGUCCCGUGGUCAAUUUUUUCUCAGUUUUCUUGCAGUUUUUUGCAUAUCACUAUAUGUAGUCUAAGAUUACUUACUAGUACUGAUUUGUUUUUGGUUUUGCUCAGGAUUUACUACUGAUUCUUUCUGUUUUUUUUUUUUGUGGAAAAAGGAGCAUAUUUCUGCUAGUGUUCUCCCUUCUGAGCUCAGCAAACAAGGGGCAGUUCAUCGAUGGAUGAGGGUAAAGUGCAUGAUUUAAGGAAUGGUACGUGGAACGGUGGAGAAAAAGGUGCUUGUUUUGUCUUCCAAGGGAGCUUUUACUCAUUGUACUUGGCUAUCUCUCAGUUCAAGAUUACCUAUCUUUCCGAGUUGUGUGCAAGUGUUGGCACUCUGCUUUCUCUGAGUGUUCAGCUUUCAUAUCUCAAAAACAGUUACCAAGACAGUUACCAUGGUUCAUGCUCUUUAGAAGUGAAGAGUUCCCAGAGGGGCUUCACCUUUCUCAAAAUAAACAGCACUUUCUCCAAACAACGGGCAAAUUUGGGGACUUAUCAAGUCAAUGUAUUUACAAUACUGACAUUCUGGAGCUAUGUGAAACUUGAUUCUUGCUGUCAAGGCAUGGGUGGCUGCUGUUAUUUUCUUCCAAGAAUGGGUGCUCUUUUCUUUUUUUUCCUCAAUCUAUUUUCCAGGGCAAGGAUUGACAUCCUUCUUAUAGAUGUGAUAAAUUAUGGUGUCCUGUGUUUGAUGUAUCAGCUCCUCCCACAUCUCCAGAUUGUGUGGUUUUUGCAAUAAGCUGUAAUGAUUUCGGGAUCGAAAUUAGGACAUGUUGCCGAAGAGAGUCUACAUGGAAGAGCAAUUCGUUUGAAUAUCACGGGGUUAGUGGCCAUGUGGUGAAUACAGUAUUUGUGCAUGGGAUUUGGUAUUGCUUACAUGAAUGUGGCAGUUUCAGCACUUUCGAUGUUGUUAACAAUUGAUGGAGAUUUUUGGGUCUACCUGAGGGUAUGUACAAACAGUGCUCUCAAGUUAAUCUGUUUUCCUUCGUUAUUAAGUGCGGGACCCAGGUUUAACUGUGCGCACUGAAACGUUUUCCAUGAGGUUUUAUUGGAGGAACCUCUCAAGGUUACAAAAAAUUUCCGUGAUGGAGAUUGGCAAAUUAACUUGGAAUACCAGAUGAGAAGUCGCCCGCACAGAGCUUUUCAGAAGCUGCAAAAUGAGACGGAAGUCUUCGACACUUUCAAUGGUCAUGCAUGAUGUGGUGACCGCAAUGUUUCCAAGUACGAUGUCAUAAAAUUUCGGUGGCAUCAUUUCAGGAGCUUUCUGAAUCACCGAUGUGUAAUGGAUAAGUGGAGCUGUCCUCCAAAUAACAAGGAAUGUUCAACAAUUGUUGUGUGGGUUGAACCGGUUUGGGUGCAUCCUUCAGCAGAUCUCGGUUGGAUGUUCUGAGAUAAAUUACUUCUUAUUAUCUUCUUCUUUUAAUUCCUGUUCCCUUCUCCUUCUUGUUUUUCUAUGCUUUUUGUGUACUGGUAAUAUUUAAUAAAUCACAUUUGCUUUAU
RNA transcript from Rhododendron vialii, 7121 nucleotides. RefSeq lists it as uncharacterized. NCBI's taxonomy places the organism in Eukaryota, Viridiplantae, Streptophyta, Magnoliopsida, Ericales, Ericaceae. The record is from RefSeq and is a predicted model, not a curated record. The transcript has 3 exons.